This 245-nucleotide ribosomal RNA is filed under the name uncultured bacterium. RNAcentral's name for it is "partial small subunit ribosomal RNA". It matches the Rfam family "Bacterial small subunit ribosomal RNA", at positions 26 to 285 of the family's 1533-position model. The record is from RNAcentral.
AGAAUCAACGCUGGCGGCGUGCCUAACACAUGCAAGUCGAACGAGAAAGUGGAGCAAUCCGUGAGUAAAGUGGCGCACGGGUGAGUAACACGUGACUAACCUACCCUUGAGUGGGGGAUAACCUAGAGAAAUCUGGGCUAAUACCGCAUAAUACCUUCGGGUCAAAGGAGCAAUUCGCUUAAGGAGGGGGUCGCGGCCGAUUAGUUAGUUGGCGGGGUAAUGGCCCACCAAGACUGUGAUCGGUA